CCUACGGGAGGCAGCAGUGGGGAAUAUUGCACAAUGGGGGAAACCCUGAUGCAGCGACGCCGCGUGAGUGACGAAGUAUUUCGGUACGUAAAGCUCUAUCAGCAGGGAAGAAAAUGACGGUACCUGACUAAGAAGCCCCGGCUAACUACGUGCCAGCAGCCGCGGUAAUACGUAGGGGGCAAGCGUUAUCCGGAUUUACUGGGUGUAAAGGGAGCGUAGACGGCAGCACAAGUCUGGUGUGAAAUGCCGGGGCUUAACCCCGGAACUGCUUUGGAAACUGUGCGGCUAGAGUGUAGGAGAGGGAAGUGGAAUUCCUAGUGAAGCGGUGAAAUGCGUAGAUAUUAGGAGGAACACCAGUGGCGAAGGCGGCUUACUGGACGGUAACUGACGUUGAGGCUCGAAAGCGUGGGGAGCAAACAGGAUUAGAUACCCGAGUAGUC
Molecule: ribosomal RNA, 440 nt
Filed under: uncultured bacterium
Lineage: Bacteria
Description: partial 16S ribosomal RNA
Rfam family: Bacterial small subunit ribosomal RNA
Source: RNAcentral